Molecule: long non-coding RNA, 5783 nt
Filed under: Medicago truncatula (barrel medic)
Lineage: Eukaryota; Viridiplantae; Streptophyta; Magnoliopsida; Fabales; Fabaceae
Description: long non-coding RNA (MTRU_LNC004958)
Source: RNAcentral
UUAUUAUAUCUAUUUUAUCCAUAAUAUUUAGUAUUGUUUUAUUUAGAUUUUAGUUAUAUUUAUAUUUAUAAUAUUUCCUUUUUGAAUUAUAUUACUACAAUUGCAUAUUUUAUAUUUCAGGAAUGAAUAUUGGAUGGAUUGAGUCUUGGAGCAAAAGAAAGAGGAUUGGAGCUGAUUCGGUGCAGAAAUACGAAUAUUCGGAAGACAAAAUAUGCUAGGCUUGGCACGGCCGUGCCACCUUCCAAUGCCUCUUUUGCUGCUUUUGCUUAGAUUUUAAGCUACUCUAUUUUUAGCCCAAAUGUAAUAGCUUAGAUUUUAAGUCGAAUAAAUGCUAUAAAUAGAGUAGCCAUCCAUCACAAAUAAUCAUCUUUUCUUGGAAUGCAAUAUGUGACAAUUGUCUUUCUAAUAAAAGUUCAUUUUACUUUCUUGCUAUUUACUUUUAUGUUUUCUCUCUUCUUCUCCUUGUCUACAAUGAACGUCAGUGAGUAGACUUCUCUUGUCUUGGGAUUGUUGGAUAAGUCUAAUGACAUAAUCCUAAUCAAACCAAGUUUUAAACCUUAAUCUUAUGUAACCCUAAUUCCUUAUCUAAAUUCACCGCUUUAACAUGGAUCAACCAUUAUCAAACUGUGGAAACGAAAGUGGAGGGUUUGAUAAUUGUUUAUCCAUCAUCUCAAAUAUCAAUUCAUAAAACGAAAGUGGAGCUUUGAUAUUCGAACAAGUGAAUUUAGACAAAGAUUGCAAAGUCAGCGAAUUAGGCUUUGCAAUCUUUGAGACAUAUAGUUUCGAUCUUCAAGGAAACUAAUAACAAUCAAGUCAGCGAAAUAGGCUUGGUUGUUAGAGGAACCAAAAUCUAAUAGUAAUCAAGUCAGCGAAAUAGGCUUGGUUGCUAGAGGAACAAAAGAGAAACUGUCUUGAGAAAUUAGGUCUAACAUAAAGUUAUAAGUUUAAUAGUUUGGUUUGAGAAGGACUUGUCGUUAGGAUGAACCAAUAACCCCAAGGCUUUUAUCUUUUAUUAUAUUAUUUGCUUUUAAUUAAAAACCCAAACUUUUCUAUCUUAUAAACCUUUAGUCUAAUCAUUAUCUAAAGUUGAUUGAAUUCAUAACUCCCUGUCGGAACGAUACUCUUUUCAUACUACUUCGGUAAGACCAUACACUUGCGGUUUUAUCCCAUCAAGUUUUUGGCGCCGCUGCCGGGGAGUUAUUGUAAUUUGAUUAACUUUUUAAUAGUGGUUAGUCUAUAAAAUAAAAAAAUUAAUAAUAUAUAUAUAUAUAUAUAUAUAUAUAUAUAUAUAUAUUUAUAUUUAUAAAAUAUUUUAUUUCCUUUUCUUAUUUUUUUAUUUUUUUAUUUUUAUAAAAUAUUUUAUUUCCUUUUCUUAUCUUUUUAUUUUUUAUUUUUAUUUUAUAUAUAUAUAUAUAUAUAUAUAUAUAUAUAUAUAUAUAUAUAUAUAUCUCCCUUUCUCCUUAUUUUAUUAUUUUAUUUUAUUUUUAUUAUUUCUUAUCUUUAACCGUUCUUAUCUCAGGCAUGACUCAAAACUACUAUCCUUAGGCUCCUUCCCCUGUUUUGCCUCCUUGUUAUGGAAUAUUUGGUCAUGCUGAUCAACUAGGUAGUGUUGUUAGAAGUCCUGAGCAAGUAAACUAUGCUCAAUAUAAUCAAAGGUUUAGGAACGAUCAAUUUUUUCAAACCCCUCAAAAUCUUUUUGGACAACAAACAACACCACCUGAUUUUGAAAAUAACCAAGGAAUCCCUCAAAGAUCCAACUUGGAACUUUUGCUAGAAAAUCUUGUAUUAGAUAACUCUAGGCACAACAAAGAAUUUGAAAUCCAAGCUAGAAAUUUGAAGGACUCUCUCAAUAGGCUUUCCUCAAAAGUAGAUUCUCUUUGUACUCACAACAAAAUGAUAGAGAUUCAAAUCCCUCACGUCGGCCAUCAAGUAGCCUCUCCCUCCCAAACCUCCAUAAUCCUUCCGAGCCAACCUAAGGCUAACCCAAAGGGUCAACCGAAUGAUGUUACACUUAGGGAUGGUAAACAAUUAGAGGUAGAGAGUGAAAAGCCACAAAGUGAGAAAGUUGUGAUAGAAAGUGAAAAGCCUAACAUAUCACCACCUUAUGAGCCAAAAAUUCCUUUCCCACAAGGGUUUGAUGAGUCUAAACUAGAUGAGCAGUUUAGGAAACUUAUUGAAAUCAUUCAAGACAAAUUGCCAUCUAGACUUAAGGAUCCUCUGAGUUUUUCUAAACCAUCUGUCAUAGGAUCCGAGAUUAUAGAAAGAGCCAUGUGUGAUUUGGGGGAUAAUGUCAGUUUGAUGUCAUUGUCCCUUUGUGAAAGAUUGGGUAUAGGAUAGAGAAACCCUUUGACCGUCAAGCUAAUGACUUUAAACGAGCGCUUCGUGGGAGGCAACCCACGCAUUUAAUUGUUUUUGUUUUAUUUGUUUCUUUUUGUUUUAAGUUAUUUUGUAGGUAAUUGUCCAAGAAUGAUUCAAGAAAAAGAAAAUUUUUAAAGUUCCGGUCUCCAGAACCUUGGCACGGCCCGUGCUCACACUGGCAUGGCCGUGCCAGACCUUGCCUCUCCAAAACCAAGCCAAACCCAGGAACUUAGCACGGCCCGUGCCAACCUCAGCACGGCCGUGCCCGACCCCAGGUAAGGUUAAACCUUAUUUUUCUUCCCUCAUUCACCAAACCAACAUCUCUCAUCCUUCCAUCUUCUCUCUAAAACCUUCAUAACAAAAAAAAAAAAAAAACCAUUCCAACCACAACCUUUCAUUCAAAAACCACUUUCAUCCACCCCAUCCAAAAAUCAUCCAAAUUCAUAGCCCUCAUUUACCUCACCCAAAAACCACAAAUUCAUCACCAAUUUCCACAAUCCAACCCCUAAAACUCACUUAAACCUUCUCCCCAUCACUAAACCAACCCUUUCCACUAGCACAUUCCCUAAACACAACCACGCUAAAUCCAACCAAGGUCAAGGCUAUGGCUUCCGAAAGAGGUGGUAAAGAAGUUGUUGCGAGCUCGUCAAGAGGACCUCCCCCAAAGAAGCAAGUUACAACAAAGAAUCUUGGAAUACAAUUCAAGGACAACAAGCAAAGGGAUAGGUAUAAAAUUCUCAUCUCUAAAUCUAUACAUGCUUGUAGAUAUCCUGAUUCUUUUAGCUUGAAUGUAGUAGGCAUUCACGAUAAUGUGUUUAACUUUCUAGGAAGCUAGCAGCAUUCACAACCCUGUGCUUAGGUACCUUCAAAGGGUUAUGGCUUGCACAAUUUGGGGUAGGAUUGAAUUGGGGAACACUAGAACUGAUGAACUCUUCAUGUUGUGGGCUAUGCUUAACAACCACCCCGUUAACACUUACUUUUCCAUGCUUGAUUACUUUUCCCAUCUCGGUAAUAGGUCUAAUGGUAGGGGAGAGAUAGUGGUAGGUGGUAUCAUCAUAUACAUAGUUAGGCAAUUGGGAGUGGGUGAAGACCAAGGGAUUAACAAGAUUGAGGGAAACAAUAGGCUUAACAUAGAGGCCCUUAUCUCUUUGAACUUCAUAAAACCUCGACCACCCAUGGCCUAUACACUUAAACCCAACGUGCCUAUUUUGAUUAUACUUUCUAACCCAUCUCGGACUAACACCGAGGUGGAAGAAAAUUUGUUGUAUGUUGGUGAUAGUUCGCAGGUACAUGAAGAGCACAUUAUUGAAGAGGAAGGUGCACACUUGCACCAAGAAGAGGAUCACCAUGACCAUGAAACCGGAGGAAACAAUGAUAAUAAAAGAUGGACAUGGAUGCAAACCGAGGUUGAAAGGAUAAGCACCGAGCAACUACGGCAAGGUGUUGAAUUAUCGGGACUAAGGAAUGAUGUCCUAAGGGGCAACCGCAUAUCCGAAGAAAAUAACCAAAUGCUUUGGAACAUGAUGCACCAUUUUCACCUCCAAGGUCCUCCCUAUAGAACUCAAUGAAAAAUGUGAGCUUUCCUCUUCCUCUCUUCUCUUACUCCUCCUCCUCCUCCUGCUUCUUCUUCUUCUUCUUCUUCUUCUUCUUCUUCUUCUUCUUCUUCUUCUUCUUCUUCUUUAUUUCUCUUAUUUUGAAUCAUUGAGGACAAUGCUUCUCCUAAGUGUGGGGGGAGCCUAAUAAAGUGUCUUUAGUCGUAGUGUUUUCAAACUCCCUUGAACUUUAUUCUUUUGUUGUGUUUUAAUGUAAAAGGCAUGAAUAAGCAGCUCAUUUUUAUUUUUUUAUUAUGGCAUAAUUUUUUUGUUGUCUCUUCAAUGGUCGUUUCUUGUACAUGAAAGUGAUUUCUUGUGUUAUAAGUAUUCUUGCUAUACCCACAUCAAAUUUUAUUGUGAAAUUAAUUCUCCAAUGAAAAAAGCACCUAGUUGCAAUCCUUGAGUAAGUGUAUGAGUAGGUAUUUUAAGGAACACGUUCUAGCUCUAAUGGUAACCUGGACCCUUAAAAUCUUCAGAGUAAAAGUAGUAUAAGUUUGUGUGGGAAUAAUUCUAAUGUGAUGAAAUGUGUAAACCGAAAUGGGGCGGAAGGAUAUCACCACACGUGGAGGAAAGGAUACCCUCUCACUGACUUCCUAAAUGUGGUGAUGACUUCUCAAACAAAUUGUGCUUGAAUUAAACCCUCUAAAAAGAGGAACUUCCUAAGUGAAGUAAACAAGUUGUAGCACUACUUAGGGUGAUCAUAGAAACUUGGAGCAAAGGAUACCCCCUCACGGACUUCCAAUGUGAAAUGAUAGCCCCUAGGCAUCUACAAGCUCCCAAAUGUAUAAAUUCAUCAAGUCUAUCUUAACUCUCCCACUUCUCUUAUAUGAAAUGAAGAAAAGAUUUUUCUCGGUCAUUUUAGUGUUAAGGUUAGAACCUGUUCCUCAUAAUAUCUAUCUUAUACAGGAGCAAGAAAAGGGUUGGACUACACACACACACUCACUUGAGAUUUGUUGUCGGGUUGAAUAAGUUUACAAGGAAUGCUUGAAGUUGUGAUUAGUGUACAUUGAAAUGAAACCUCGAGGGAGACAUAAGCUUUUAUUUAAGGUGUCAUAUAUUAAUCCUUUUGUUGCUGCCAUGUCUUUGCCUUUUGCUUGAGGACAAGCAAAGAUUCAAGUGUGGGGGAGUUUGAUGAGUCAUUAUUAUAUCUAUUUUAUCCAUAAUAUUUAGUAUUGUUUUAUUUAGAUUUUAGUUAUAUUUAUAUUUAUAAUAUUUCCUUUUUGAAUUAUAUUACUACAAUUGCAUAUUUUAUAUUUCAGGAAUGAAUAUUGGAUGGAUUGAGUCUUGGAGCAAAAGAAAGAGGAUUGGAGCUGAUUCGGUGCAGAAAUACGAAGAUUCGGAAGACAAAAUAUGCUAGGCUUGGCACGGCCGUGCCACCUUCCAAUGCCUCUUUUGCUGCUUUUGCUUAGAUUUUAAGCUACUCUAUUUUUAGCCCAAAUGUAAUAGCUUAGAUUUUAAGUCGAAUAAAUGCUAUAAAUAGAGUAGCCAUCCAUCACAAAUAAUCAUCUUUUCUUGGAAUGCAAUAUGUGACAAUUGUCUUUCUAAUAAAAGUUCAUUUUACUUUCUUGCUAUUUACUUUUAUGUUAUCUCUCUUCUUCUUCUUGUCUACAAUGAACGUCAGUGAGUAGACUUCUCUUGUCUUGGGAUUGUUGGAUAAGUCUAAUGACAUAAUCCUAAUCAAACCAAACUUUAAACCUUAAUCUUAUGUAACCCUAAUUCCUUAUCUAAAUUCACCGCUUUAACAUGGAUCAACCAUUAUCAAACUGUGGAAACGAAAGUGGAGGGUUUGAUAAUUGUUUAUCCAUCAUCUCAAAUAUCAAUUCAUAAAACGAA